RNAcentral lists this unclassified non-coding RNA (307 nucleotides) under plant metagenome. RNAcentral's name for it is "partial contains 5.8S ribosomal RNA, internal transcribed spacer 2, and large subunit ribosomal RNA". The stretch from base 1 to 105 matches the Rfam family "5.8S ribosomal RNA", at positions 50 to 154 of the family's 154-position model. The record is from RNAcentral.
GAAAUGCGAUAAGUAGUGUGAAUUGCAGAAUUUAGCGAAUCAUCGAAUCUUUGAACGCACAUUGCGCCCCUCGGUAUUCCGUGGGGCAUGCCUGUUCGAGCGUCAUCUACACCCUCAAGCUCUGCUUGGUGUUGGGCGUCUGUCCCGCCUCCGCGCGCGGACUCGCCCCAAAUGCAUUGGCAGCGGUUCCUUGCCCCCCUCUUUGCGCAGCACAUUGCCAUUCGAGGCGGCGGCGGCCCGCGUCCAACAAGCUCAACCCCCCCGUCUUUGACCUCGGAUCAGGUAGGGAUACCCGCUGAACUUAAGC